UACCAGCUGGCUGCAACUGUUUAUUAAAAACACAGCACUGUGCAAACACGAAAGUGGACGUAUACGGUGUGACGCCUGCCCGGUGCCGGAAGGUUAAUUGAUGGGGUUAUCCUCGCGGAGAAGCUCUUGAUCGAAGCCCCGGUAAACGGCGGCCGUAACUAUAACGGUCCUAAGGUAGCGAAAUUCCUUGUCGGGUAAGUUCCGACCUGCACGAAUGGCGUAAUGAUGGCCAGGCUGUCUCCACCCGAGACUCAGUGAAAUUGAACUCGCUGUGAAGAUGCAGUGUACCCGCGGCAAGACGGAAAGACCCCGUGAACCUUUACUAUAGCUUGACACUGAACACUGGUCCUUGAUGUGUAGGAUAGGUGGGAGGCUUUGAAGUGUGGACGCCAGUCUGCAUGGAGCCAUCCUUGAAAUACCACCCUUUAAUGGCUGGUGUUCUAACGUGGGCCCGUGAUCCGGGUUGCGGACAGUGUCUGGUGGGUAGUUUGACUGGGGCGGUCUCCUCCUAAAGAGUAACGGAGGAGCACGAAGGUCAGCUAAUCCUGGUCGGACAUCAGGAGGUUAGUGCAAUGGCAUAAGCUGGCUUGACUGCGAGCGUGACGGCGCGAGCAGGUGCGAAAGCAGGUCAUAGUGAUCCGGUGGUUCUGAAUGGAAGGGCCAUCGCUCAACGGAUAAAAGGUACUCCGGGGAUAACAGGCUGAUACCGCCCAAGAGUUCAUAUCGACGGCGGUGUUUGGCACCUCGAUGUCGGCUCAUCACAUCCUGGGGCUGAAGUAGGUCCCAAGGGUAUGGCUGUUCGCCAUUUAAAGUGGUACGCGAGCUGGGUUUAGAACGUCGUGAGACAGUUCGGUCCCUAUCUGCCGUGGGCGCUGGAGAAUUGAGGGGGGCUGCUCCUAGUACGAGAGGACCGGAGUGGACGCAUCACUGGUGUUCGGGUUGUCAUGCCAAUGGCAUUGCCCGGUAGCUAAAUGCGGAAGAGAUAAGUGCUGAAAGCAUCUAAGCACGAAACUUGCCCCGAGAUGAGUUCUCCCUGACUCCUUGAGAGUCCUGAAGGAACGUUGAAGACGACGACGUUGAUAGGCCGGGUGUGUAAGCGCAGCGAUGCGUUGAGCUAACCGGUACUAAUGAACCGUGAGGCUUAACCUU
This 1149-nucleotide ribosomal RNA is filed under the name Klebsiella oxytoca. RNAcentral describes it as "partial 23S ribosomal RNA". It matches the Rfam family "Bacterial large subunit ribosomal RNA", at positions 1783 to 2925 of the family's 2925-position model. Lineage: Bacteria; Pseudomonadati; Pseudomonadota; Gammaproteobacteria; Enterobacterales; Enterobacteriaceae. The record is from RNAcentral.